GAUGAACGCUGGCGGCGUGCUUAACACAUGCAAGUCGAACGAGAAGUGGAGACGGACACCUUCGGGCGGAAGACUUUAUUUCGAGUGGCGGACGGGGGAGUAACGCGUGGGUAACCUGCCUCAUACAGGGGGAUAACAGUUGGAAACGACUGUUAAUACCGCAUAAGACCACAGCACCGCAUGGUGCGGGGGUAAAAACUCCGGUGGUAUGAGAUGGACCCGCGUUCGAUUAGCCAGUUGGCGGGGUAACGGCCCACCAAAGCGACGAUCGAUAGCCGAUCUGAGAGGAUGACCGGCCACAUUGGGACUGAGACACGGCCCAAACUCCUACGGGAGGCAGCAGUGGGGAAUAUUGCACAAUGGGGGAAACCCUGAUGCAGCGACGCCGCGUGAGUGAAGAAGUAUUUCGGUAUGUAAAGCUCUAUCAGCAGGGAAGAAAAUGACGGUACCUGAGUAAGAAGCCCCGGCUAACUACGUG
Molecule: ribosomal RNA, 478 nt
Filed under: uncultured bacterium
Lineage: Bacteria
Description: partial 16S ribosomal RNA
Rfam family: Bacterial small subunit ribosomal RNA
Source: RNAcentral